CAACCAACAAUGAACACAAAAGGACCCUCAGAAGAUUCCUGGGUGAAAGGUUCAGGCGCCAUCCCUUGGGCACGGUGGUGCUGAUUCUGCUGCUCCUGGUGCUGGUGCUGGCUUUGGGGGCGGCCUUGGCUGUGCAGUCAGCAGCCACAGGUUCCAGUCACACCUGCGACACCACUGUUGGUUCUGGGCUGUCCCUUUGACUGGAUUGGGCACAAGGGGGUCUGCUACUACUUCUCAAGGGAUUACAGCACCUGGGAUCAGGGUCAAGAACAGUGCUCCGAGCUUCGGGGCCUCCCCUGGCCAUUGCCCAGGAUGAGGAGGCCAUGGAUUUGCUCUUCCGCCUCCGGAACCGCCCGAGCGAUUUCUGGCUCGGGCUGGCGCCCAGACGGGCGGCGCCUGCACUGGGGGGACGGCAGCAGCUACAGCUCCCGGGUUCCCGUCUUUGGCAAUUCCCAGUGUGUGUACCUGGCUGACAAGAGAUUGAGGAGUGAGAACUGCUCCAGUGAGCGGCCGUAUCUCUGCAGCAAGGCCCAAGCUCCCCUGUAACAGGGGCUGCACAAAGCACCUUCUCCACGCUGGGCAGUGCCAGCUUCACCUCUGAGCCCAGCACGGGGCUGUCCUUCCUCAGCUGCACCCUGUGCCUUGCACUUCCUCUCAGGCUCACCUCAGGGCCUCUUCAUCCCCAGUGCCAGCGCUGGGCUGGGGCUGCAAAGGAAAAGUCUCUGCAAUCCAUCCUGCCCCCGAUGCUGCCUGCAGUGAGUGCAUUGCCCUCAGGACACAACAA
Long non-coding RNA from Camarhynchus parvulus, 784 nucleotides. RefSeq lists it as uncharacterized. The record is from RefSeq and is a predicted model, not a curated record. Lineage: Eukaryota; Metazoa; Chordata; Aves; Passeriformes; Thraupidae. The transcript has 5 exons.